AGUGGCGACGGGUGAGUAACACGUGGGCAAUCUGCCCUGCACUCUGGGAAAGCCCUGGAAACGGGGUCUAAUACCGGAUAACACCCCCUGGGCAUGGGAGGGGGUUGAAAGCUCCGGCGGUGCAGGAUGAGCCCGCGGCCUAUCAGCUUGUUGGUGAGGUAGAAGGUCACCAAGGCGACGACGGGUAGCCGGCCUGAGAGGGCGACCGGCCACACUGGGACUGAGACACGGCCCAGACUCCUACGGGAGGCAGCAGUGGGGAAUAUUGCACAAUGGGCGAAAGCCUGAUGCAGCGACGCCGCGUGAGGGAUGACGGCCUUCGGGUUGUAAACCUCUUUCAGCAGGGAAGAAGCGAAAGUGACGGUACCUGCAGAAGAAGCGCCGGCUAACUACSUGCCAGCAGCCGCGGUAAUACGUAGGGCGCAAGCGUUGUCCGGAAUUAUUGGGCGUAAAGAGCUCGUAGGCGGCUUGUCACGUCGGUUGUGAAAAGCCCGGGGCUUAACCCCGGGUCUGCAGUCGAUACGGGCARGGCUAGAAGUGUGGUARGGGGAGAUCGGAAUUCCCUGGUGUAGCGGUGAAAUGGCGCAGAUAUCAGGAGGAAACACCGGUGGGCGAAAGGCGGGAUCUUCUUGGGCCAUUUACUGACGCUGAGGGAGCGAAAGCGUGGGGGAGCGAAACAGG
RNAcentral lists this ribosomal RNA (681 nucleotides) under Streptomyces sp. RNAcentral's name for it is "bacterial SSU rRNA". Lineage: Bacteria; Bacillati; Actinomycetota; Actinomycetes; Kitasatosporales; Streptomycetaceae. The record is from RNAcentral.